UGAGUGUUCGUGCUGUCUAGGCAGCUGAAUAUGCUAAGUUAAGGGCUUUUCUGAGUUAUUUGGCAGAGGGCUGUUUAUGGCUGUUCAUGCUGGUGCUGGUAUAGUUAUGUCCAUAUUUGAAGUUUGAAACACGUCCUAGUGUCGUUUUCUCCUGUGUUUUAACAGUUUUACAGCGGUUUAUUUACAGUGAUUUAGUCGGUACCACCAGAGGUGAUAACAAGGCCGGGAGGACUUCCACGAUGCGGUGGUCUUCAGCCCAGGCUAGAGACACGCAUUUCUCCAGGCUGAGCGGAACGGAACUCUGCUCUGCCUAAAGAACGUAAAGAAGGCGUUAAGUGUCAGGGGGACAACAGACUUCGACGUGAUCGUCACAGGAGUGAUGUCUCAGUCACUGAGACAUGCCGUUCUUCACACGGAGCCCCCCAUCACAGCAGAAAAACACUCGAUGAUGAUGCCGCCAGGCAGAAAGGUCAGCCUGGUGGAAGCUAAAGUGGUCUCUCUAAGUCCAUCUGUACAAACGGUGAAUAUCCGUGGGGCCGAGCGUGAGGUCAGAAACUGCUGCAUCUCUGACGGGACUGCACAGAUAGCGCUGCAGCUGUGGGAGAGACAGCUGGACACCGUCAAGGCGCUGUCAUCCUACACCUUCACUGAACUCUCAACAAGAUCAUUUGAGGACAAACUUCGGUUCACCACCUCCAUCAGCACCACCUGCAGCCCCUCCUGAAAGGAAGUAACAUUAUAUUUAUCAAAUGCUAGUUAACAGCUUGCUCAUAGUUUUUGUAUAUGUAGUCCGCCAUGAACUGAGUGUUUUAAAACUACUGAGAGUCAGUGGUUCUGAUCAGCUAGCUAGGUUAGGUAAGUAAGAAGUGUUACAAAAUGUGUUAAUUGUCCUUUUUUUGGUUUCUUAGUAAUUUCUUACUCAUCAGGCAAUUUGCUAUUGUGCUUUUAACUGUAAAGGCCUGACAAAGAUCAAAGAAACUGUUGGCAUAUGAAAGUGUAUCAGUCAAUCUGCCAGGUUAAUGCUCAGAUUACUGCUCUCUGUUUUUCCAUUACAGUAGGAAUGUUAUUGUACCUUCAUCAAAUGUUAAGUGAUCCUGUAAUUGGCCACCGAAUAAUCCUGCAAAGAUAAGUACAAUUCAAGUGCCUGUGAUUCAGUGGCUGGAAAUUAUGAGCUUGAUUCCUCCAAAAAUAUGGAACACAGGUCAAAUACAUCUUCACUGUACGGGUCAAAAACUCAGUACUCUUUGCAGGUGUUGAGUUCACCUUCACAGACUGGAAUAAGAAGGUCUUCAGAUUUCCACAGAUGUGGUGCAAGGUCCAUGACGUUAGGUAGCCCACUUAGCAUGUUCGUGUUUGUGGAAGGCCGAAUGCGGUUGGGCAUUCCAAACAUCACAAAUCUCAUUGAGCUCUUUCUGUGAAGACCGUGCAGAAAGCGGAGGUGGUGGUGAAGAGUUUUACACGUUAAACCUCUGCCUUUCUUACAAACCGAACUGAACUGAACAGCUUGGUCCAGGUUUAUUGCCUACCUGUCUAAUAACAAGCAAUAAUCUGUUAGAAACUAUUUUAUUGUGAAACCUUUUACAAUAGGAGUUCUGUGUAGUCAGUUAGUUAAAAUAAGUCACAAAAUAGGAAUUUUGAGUAUUUUCUGGAGGUUUCAAAAACAACAAGCUGGAAGAUCUGAGCAAUUUGGUGUAAUUUACUACUGUCUACAUCACAGAAUAGAGGUAAUCAUAAUCCCAUUUACACCACAGCAAAUUAUACUCAUCUUAAAUAAGCUUUACAAGGUAAGUGUCUCAUAAAACAUCUUACCUGAAUGAUCACCAUAAAGCAAAACUGCACUGGAGCUUUGUCCAAGAAGUCGCCUCUGAACGGUCCUUCAUCUUUUAAGUUCCCCAAAUAGCUGGAUCCUUACGGAGGAAUAAAAACUUAAUUUAAGCGAACGUUUUGCAGUUGGUACGCACGUUUUCUUUACUUCGUGGGUACGUUUUUGUUUAUUCAUUCUCUCAUUUUUUUAGACGUUGGUCAUGUUUUAUUUUUAGCUAAACGCAUGUUGUUUGUGUUUUGGUAACAGCUCCCUGAGACUGUCUGACGGGUUCUGAUGAGGUAGACUGAUGAGAUGAACUGAGACGCUCACCAGGGCUGAUUCUGAUUUAGGGGUUUAUGAGGAAACUGCAGCUCCUCUUCACAGCCAAUGGCCCAGGGCGUUUUUCUGCUCAGGGUCAAAUGCCGGUGUUAGAGACCAUCACACAAUUACAGUCAUUACGGGGGCAGUAUGGAGUUCAGGUCACUCUCUGUGAUACUCUUGCUGACUACCAUCAUCUGCUGCGGACAAAGUGAAGAUCUGCCCAGAGCUACACUCACUGUAGAACCAGCAAGUGCAGUGUUCUCUGGAGAGUCAGUCACCCUCAAGUGUGAAAUAGAACCUAUCAACAUAUCAUGGACAUAUCAAUGGGAUAAGCAGGAUAAAUGGCAUGGAUGGACUGCAGUAUCUCACUCUGUGUAUUACACUGAAAACAUGAGCGCACUCACUAUCAGAGAAGAUGCAGUGUUGGAUGGGGAUCAGUAUCGCUGUAGAGGAGAGCAAAGUGACAGACCAAUAUCAUCACAGUACAGUAACACUGUUUUUCUCACUGUAUUUGCUUUACCUAGAGCUACACUGACUGUAGAACCAGAGAGACCUGUGUCCACUGGAGAGUCAGUGACUCUGAAGUGUGAGAUUAAAGGUUAUGAUGGAUGGACGUAUCAGUGGUAUAAACAGGAUAAACGGAGUGAACUGACUGCGGUGUCUCAGUCUGUGUAUUACACUGUAAACAGAGACACUCUCACCAUCAGAGGAGAUGCUGUGAUUCAUGGAGAUCAGUAUCAGUGUAGAGGAGAGAGACGUGACAGACCAACAUCAUCACAGUACAGUGACUCUGUUACUCUCACUGUAAACGUGUUUCUGAUGGUCAGUCCAAGCAGAGCUCAACACUUUAUUACUGACUCUCUCUCACUGAGCUGUGAGGGACAGAGUGACUCUACUGGAUGGAGAGUGAGACGAUACACACACAGUGAGAAGGUGUCAGAUUGUUCAUCAGGCUGGGGAUCAGUUACAGGAUCUACGUGCAACAUCAGCUCCCUCAACACAUCCCACACUGGAUUGUACUGGUGUGAGUCUGAAUCUGGAGAGAGCAGCAAUCCUGUCAACAUCACAGUGACCAGAGCUUCAUUCUCAGUGUUCAGUCUGCUCAGUAGUUUAAUGGCAGCGUCUCCGUAUCUUCUGGUGUCCAUCAUUCUGGGGGUCAAAUGCUACAGAGCUCAAGCUAAACCUGAUCAGCUGAACCUGAUGAGCUGAACACAGUGUGAGCAGUGAUAGAAGCUGGAACAUGUUGAUGAGAGUCAGUCAGAGGAUUAGGAUCAUGAUUAUGAUGUUGUCCAAUGUUUGUUCAGUGAUGUUAAUCCAGUUAUAGAUCACUACAUUUGGCAGAUGUGCUUCAUAUUCUGUAUAAGGCCCACUUCUCAAGCCUGAAGCUCUACUAUCAAACUCUACAGGUGGUAGAUCUCCAGGACUAGGACUGUAGAGGCCUUUCAGUACAAUAUAUUCUGGGUUGCCAGCUUGAGCUUUUUUAAUGCCUUUUUGUGCCAUAUGGGGAAACGUGACUUUGGUUAGUUGCCAGUUUUUAGGACUGCAUUUCUCUUUGUGAAUAAUCUAAUCCAUACACACAAAACACUCAAACUAGCUUACUAGUUAGGAAGUCUAAAGAGUGUGUGGAAGAAACUAACCAACUGAACUGACCAGUGGAGUUGGAAACCCUUUGUAUUAUAGUGAGAGUGUCUGAGAGAGGCUACGAUGUCUGUCUGUUUGUAUUAUUAUUAUUAUUACUAUUAUUGUUCUAUUUUUUAUGUUGCAUUGGGGAUCGGGGUGGGUGUCUCUGACAGAGUCUCCAGCAUGACCCUCACUGAUCCUCAUUGUUGAAAUACAUAUGUGCAUGUAUCACACAGGACAAACACUAGGUGGCAGUAUAUAAGCAAUGAUAUGUGCUGUUUUGAGUAUGUACUGGUGGGACUUUAAGGCUGGGUGGUGAGACCUGGCUGUGGAGUCCACAAUUUUAUAAAUGAUUUUUGAAGCAUGUAGCAUAGAGGAGGGUUGUACCUCCUUUUUCCACAAUCCUUGUUAAAUCUUGAAGUGAAGUGAAGUGAAGUAAAAGGCUGGAUAGAUACAGAUGAAAUCUGUAUCAGUGGGUCUAAGGAUCUUACUUUAGGAAGUGAGUACUUGGGAAGAAGUAAGUACUUGGUUUGGAGGUCUGUCUCAAAGAGUACAAAUUCAGCCUGACAAGUGGGGCAAAACAUUAAGAAACUGCAGCCAACAUAGGUCACAUAAAUUUACAGCACAACUU
This is an RNA transcript of Pygocentrus nattereri (red-bellied piranha), 4376 nucleotides long. It is a transcript of the gene named Fc receptor-like protein 5, with no coding region annotated. Lineage: Eukaryota; Metazoa; Chordata; Actinopteri; Characiformes; Serrasalmidae. The transcript is spliced from 11 exons. The record is from RefSeq and is a predicted model, not a curated record.